RNAcentral lists this long non-coding RNA (296 nucleotides) under Brassica rapa (field mustard). RNAcentral's name for it is "long non-coding RNA (BRAP_LNC006315)". Lineage: Eukaryota; Viridiplantae; Streptophyta; Magnoliopsida; Brassicales; Brassicaceae. The record is from RNAcentral.
GGGAUUUUUAUUAUUUUUCUAAUUUAAGUUGUUAAAUUAUUUAUAUUUAAGGUAUGAUGUAUAUAUUUAUAUAAAUGUUAAGAUGCAUGUCAUAAUUAAAAUUUAUUUUUAAAUUUUAACACGUUAAAUUAACAUAUUUUUUACUAUUUAAAUAUCUUUUUUUGUAAUUUUGUUGGCUAUCUAGUUAUCAUAUUUAGCAAAACUAUCCGUUGAAUGUUGAAAUAAAUGUUUUAGAUAUUUAAUUAAACUGUAGAGUAUUUUCGGAUCGACCACAUGCUCAACAAUCGAUCCAUCCG